This is a long non-coding RNA of Ornithorhynchus anatinus (platypus), 1961 nucleotides long. RefSeq lists it as uncharacterized. NCBI's taxonomy places the organism in Eukaryota, Metazoa, Chordata, Mammalia, Monotremata, Ornithorhynchidae. The record is from RefSeq and is a predicted model, not a curated record. The transcript has 3 exons.
GGUUCGACGUGGGAGGGGCGGGACGCUUUGACGGGAACACCCCCGUCGGCCUCGAAGUGGGGACGGUUAACGGGCGAAGGCUUUUGGAGACGGGGGAGUCGCGCGCAGCGCCGUCUUUGAGGACGAACGGAUCCGGGGAGCAGAAGGGAGAGGCCAGAGGCCACCACGGACACGGCGGACGCGUGGACCGGAUCGGACCGGGGAGAGGGGGCCGGAUCCCGGAGACGUCGCGGAGCCCCGGGGGGUCUUGCGGGUCGGAGGGACGUCAGUCACCGGUCCGGCUCGCUGGCCGGCCCCGGCGUCGCUCGGCGGGUCUACCCUCCGCCCGGAUGAGGCUCCCCGACCGUGUGCCGUUCCGUGUCCCCUAAGCGGGAAGGAUACCGACCUGUCGCCGAGCGGAACGGAGAGGGGAGACGUGGUGAGACGACCUCGCCGGCAUGUUGACGUCGGAGGGGGCCGCGACCGACCGGUCGGGCACGGUGAACCUCGGGCCGGGCCGCCUCCCCGGCCCCCCGGGGGGUCCUCGGACGUCAGACCGCCGCGGCCCCGUCGGGCUCCGACCGCAACGGAGAAGACGUCCAUCUCUGACGGUCCGAUCUUUGCUCCCCGGACCCGAGGCGCCCUCCCCGGUCGCGGCGGGCCGCGGGCUUCUCCGUCGGGGUACUCUUUUACACGAAAGCUUACGCUUCUCGUUCCGUCUCUCUUAACCAGCGCCCGCGUCACCCGCGGCCGGCCUCGUCGAGGAGCCGCUCGGGAGUCUCGGGGGGCGGUCGGGGGUCCGGACCCUCCCCGUCGCCUCGGAUCCCGACCCCCUCUCGUCUGACGCUGUAGGGGAGGCGACGGGUUCUGGCGUCCCCCAUUUCCCGGCAGGCCAGGCGACGCCCCCGAACCCAGCAUUACGAUCCUCGGUCACGGGAGGCCCCGCGGCAGCCCCGCGCACCCUGGCCGAAGGGAAAGAGGGGGGAGAGGGGCCGGGGCCGUGGGUGGCGGGCCACCUGUGAGGGUGCUGACCGUUGAUUCGUUUCCCCCCAUCCACAGGGCCGGCGGAGAAGCGGAAAUGCCCCCGUCCCCUCCCUGCCGGACGAUCGGUCCGGAGGACGGCGCAGCCCGGCCGGCGGCCCCCGUCCCCCCACGACGCGGACGCCGCACCACGGGACGACAACCUCCGCCGUGAGGGGGCCGUACGAGGGGAGCCUCUGACGGGGCUCUGCCGCCGGUGAGCGCUCAGUAGAUAGCACCGAUGGGUUUACGUCCAAACCUCUACCCGUGCCAGACCGCAGGAGAGGUGGUGAGCCCAACCUCUCGGGGUGCCGCGUCGCGGCGAAUCCCCGAGCCCCGCUGGGAGUUUCCGGGGUGGAAGGAUACCCCGUCUGACUUUUCCUCGCGGUUCCGGGAGUCCUCGGGUGGUCCCUCCGCGCGCUCGGGGGCUCCCGGGCCGCCGCGAGAGCGGCGUCGUUUUCUCCAAGUCGACGGAGCGGUUCCUCGACGGUCGCCCACGGGAAGGGGCCAAGCUCUCCGCUUCUAACCCAGCCGUCCCCCGUGACGGAUGGCGGAGAGGACGGCGGUCUUCAAGGGUCCCCGGACACGCUUCGAGGGAAUCUCCGCGGCUCCCGCUCUUCCGGACCGCCCGCCGACCCGGAGGGGAGAGAGGGAUCUCGGCGGCUUCCGGCAGGCGAUGUCGUGCCGCGGAGGGCAGAGCCGAGCGGCCGUGAGGAGACGUGCGGCUCGGAACGCGUCACGUCCCCAGGCGGGAGAAGGGACGGAGGGUCGCUCGUCCGUCCGCGGGCCCGGGUCCCCGCCCGGCGCCCGCCGCCGCCCUACGGGCCUGGAACCGGCCCUCGAUUCUCCUCUUUCGACGCAGGAUGCCUUUCUGUGUACGGUAUAUAUUUACAUCCGAACGGGGUCUACUCCGGGAAAAGACCUCGGCGGCCAUUAGCGGAAUAAUGAAUUGAAUGAGAGAA